CCUACGGGGGGCUGCAGUGGGGAAUAUUGGACAAUGGGGGCAACCCUGAUCCAGCCAUGCCGCGUGUGUGAAGAAGGCCCUCGGGUUGUAAAGCACUUUCAGUGAGGAAGAACGCCUGGUGGUUAAUACCCAUCAGGAAAGACAUCACUCACAGAAGAAGCACCGGCUAACUCCGUGCCAGCAGCCGCGGUAAUACGGAGGGUGCGAGCGUUAAUCGGAAUUACUGGGCGUAAAGCGCGCGUAGGUGGCUUGAUAAGCCGGUUGUGAAAGCCCCGGGCUCAACCUGGGAACGGCAUCCGGAACUGUCAAGCUAGAGUGCAGGAGAGGAAGGUAGAAUUCCCGGUGUAGCGGUGAAAUGCGUAGAGAUCGGGAGGAAUACCAGUGGCGAAGGCGGCCUUCUGGACUAACACUGACACUGAGGUGCGAAAGCGUGGGUAGCAAACAGGAUUAGAUACCCCAGUAGUC
RNAcentral lists this ribosomal RNA (465 nucleotides) under Vreelandella stevensii. RNAcentral describes it as "partial 16S ribosomal RNA". It matches the Rfam family "Bacterial small subunit ribosomal RNA", at positions 338 to 795 of the family's 1533-position model. Lineage: Bacteria; Pseudomonadati; Pseudomonadota; Gammaproteobacteria; Oceanospirillales; Halomonadaceae. The record is from RNAcentral.